CCAGACUCCUACGGGAGGCAGCAGUGAGGAAUAUUGGUCAAUGGGCGGGAGCCUGAACCAGCCAAGUCGCGUGAGGGAAGACGGUCCUACGGAUUGUAAACCUCUUUUGCCGGGGAGCAACGGGGUCCUUGCGAGGGCCCGAUGAGAGUACCCGGAGAAAAAGCAUCGGCUAACUCCGUGCCAGCAGCCGCGGUAAUACGGAGGAUGCGAGCGUUAUCCGGAUUUAUUGGGUUUAAAGGGUGCGUAGGCGGGCUGUUAAGUCAGCGGUGAAAUGUCGGGGCUCAACCCCGGCCUGCCGUUGAAACUGGGGGCCUUGAGUGGGCGAGAAGAAGGCGGAAUGCGUGGUGUAGCGGUGAAAUGCAUAGAUAUCACGCAGAACGCCGAUUGCGAGGGCAGCUUACCGGCGCUCAACUGACGCUGAGGCACGAAAGUGCGGGUAUCGAACAGGAUUAGAUACCCUCGUAC
This 465-nucleotide ribosomal RNA is filed under the name uncultured bacterium. RNAcentral's name for it is "bacterial SSU rRNA". It matches the Rfam family "Bacterial small subunit ribosomal RNA", at positions 331 to 793 of the family's 1533-position model. The record is from RNAcentral.